GUUAGGAAUAUUGGACAAUGGGCGAAAGCCUGAUCCAGCCAUGCCGCGUGAACGAUGAAGGCCUUCGGGUUGUAAAGUUCUUUAGCCGAUGACUAUAAUGACUGUAGUCGGAAAAUAAGCCCCGGCUAACUUCGUGCCAGCAGCCGCGGUAAUACGAAGGGGGCGAGCGUUAUUCGGAAUCACUGGGCGUAAAGCGUGCGUAGGCGGUUUUGUAAGUUAGGAGUGAAAGCCCAGGGCUCAACCUUGGAAUUGCUCUUAAAACUGCAAGGCUCGAAUCUCGGAGAGGAUAGCGGAAUUUCCAGUGUAGCAGUGAAAUGCGUAGAUAUUGGAAGGAACACCAGUGGCGUAAGCGGCUAUCUGGACGAGUAUUGACGCUGAGGCACGAAAGCGUGGGGAUCAAACAGGAUUAGAAACCCUAGUAGUCC
RNAcentral lists this ribosomal RNA (425 nucleotides) under uncultured bacterium. RNAcentral describes it as "partial 16S ribosomal RNA". It matches the Rfam family "Bacterial small subunit ribosomal RNA", at positions 354 to 796 of the family's 1533-position model. The record is from RNAcentral.